ACAGAGGGUGCGAGCGUUGUCCGGAAUCACUGGGCGUAAAGGGCGCGUAGGUGGCUCUAUAAGUCGGGGGUGAAAUGCUGCGGCUCAACCGCAGCGCUGCCUCCGAGACUGUAGGGCUCGAGCACGGUAGAGGCCGAUGGAAUUCCCGGUGUAGCGGUGGAAUGCGUAGAUAUGUGGAGGAAUACCGAUGGCGAAGGCAGCCCCCUGGGAUAACACUGACGCUCAUGCACGAAAGCGUGGGGAGCAAACAGGA
Molecule: ribosomal RNA, 253 nt
Filed under: uncultured prokaryote
Description: partial 16S ribosomal RNA
Rfam family: Bacterial small subunit ribosomal RNA
Source: RNAcentral